AGUAAGAUGACUGAGGUUUAUAGGUAAUAAAUUGUAAAUUUAUUUAGGGAUUAUUUUCCUCUUACUA
This 67-nucleotide transfer RNA is filed under the name Nanhuaphasma hamicercum. Its description in RNAcentral is "tRNA-Tyr". Lineage: Eukaryota; Metazoa; Arthropoda; Insecta; Phasmatodea; Aschiphasmatidae. The record is from RNAcentral.